UUAAAAAGGAAAUUGUUAAUUCAAUUUAAUUUGAAAAUUAUAAAUUAUUGUUAAUAAUAUUUAUUUUUAUUUUAUUAUAUAGAUUUUAAGGUUUAUUUAUUUAUUAAGAAAAAAUUAAUUUAAUAAUAGUUAAAAGUAUUGUAAAAGAAUUUUAUAAUUUAUUUAAAAGAAACUUUUAUUUUUUGUACCUUGUGUAUCAGGGUUUAUUAAAUUAUUUUAUAAAUUUAAUUUUUUCGAAUUUAAAAGAGUUAAAAAGUUAGUUUAUUUUAUUGUAUCAUAAAUAAGUAAAAUAAUUUUUUUGUAAUGAAAUGUUAUUCGUUUUUAAAUAUAUCUAAUUUUUUAAGAAAUAGAUUUAAUUUAUUUAAUAUUAAUAUCUUAUUUUAUUUAUAUAGAAAUAUUAGUAUUAAAAAAUAUUUUUAGGGAUAAGCUUAAAAAUUUAUUUUUAUUAUCAAAUAAAUUAACAAAAUAUUUUAGGAUUAAAAUUUUUUAUAAUAUAAAUAUGUUAUUAUUUAUUUUUAUUGUAUUAAAAUUUAUUUUUGAUAUAAAUUUUUUAUUAAAAUAUAAUUUUUAAUUUUAAUUAGUUAGAAAUAAUGAUAAAAUUAGUAUAAUUUAAUUUAUAUUUUAUAUAAAUUUAAGGUUAAUUUAAGGAACUCGGCAAAUUUAUUUUUCAACUGUUUAUUAAAAACAUUGCCUUUUGUUAUAUAUUUAAGGUAUGACCUGCCCAAUGUGUAAUCAAUGGCUGCAGUAUUUUGACUGUACUAAGGUAGCAUAAUCAUUAGUUUUUUAAUUAAAAGCUGGAAUGAAUGGUAUAAUGGAAGAAUUUCUGUCUCAAAUUAAUUUUAUUAAAAUUUUAUAUUUAAGUUAAAACGCUUAAAUAUCUUUAAAAGACGAGAAGACCCUAUAGAAUUUUAUAUUAUUAUUAUUAUUAUUUUUUAGUAUUUAUAAUAUUAGUUUAAAAUAAUAUUUAAUUGGGGUGAUUAAAAAAUUUAAUUAACUUUUUUUUUAUUUUAAUAUUAAUUAAUAAGUUUAUGAUCCAUAUUUUAUGAUUAAAAGAAUAAAUUACCUUAGGGAUAACAGCGUAAUUUUAUUGGAGAGUUCUUAUCGAUAAUAAAGAUUGCGACCUCGAUGUUGGAUUAAAAUUUAUUUUUAAUGCAGAAGUUAAAAAAUUAAGUCUGUUCGACUUUUAAAAUUUUACAUGAUCUGAGUUUAGACCGGUGUGAGCCAGGUCGGUUUCUAUCUUUAAAUUAAUUUAAUAAUUUAGUACGAAAGGACCAGUUAUU
RNAcentral lists this ribosomal RNA (1280 nucleotides) under Phyllotreta parallela. RNAcentral describes it as "16S ribosomal RNA". The stretch from base 1070 to 1228 matches the Rfam family "Archaeal large subunit ribosomal RNA", at positions 2542 to 2701 of the family's 2987-position model. The record is from RNAcentral. Lineage: Eukaryota; Metazoa; Arthropoda; Insecta; Coleoptera; Chrysomelidae.